This 407-nucleotide ribosomal RNA is filed under the name uncultured bacterium. Its description in RNAcentral is "bacterial SSU rRNA". It matches the Rfam family "Bacterial small subunit ribosomal RNA", at positions 355 to 774 of the family's 1533-position model. The record is from RNAcentral.
UGGGGAAUAUUGCACAAUGGGCGCAAGCCUGAUGCAGCAACGCCGCGUGAGGGACGACGGCCUUCGGGUUGUAAACCUCUUUUGGCAGGGAAGAAGCGAAAGUGACGGUACCUGCAGAAAAAGCACCGGCUAGCUACGUGCCAGCAGCCGCGGUGAUACGUAGGGUGCAAGCGUUGUCCGGAAUUCUUGGGCGUAAAGAGCUCGUAGGCGGUUUGUCGCGUCUGCUGUGAAAACCCGAGGCUCAACCUCGGGCCUGCAGUGGGUACGGGCAAACUAGAGUGCGGUAGGGGAGAUUGAAAUUCCUGGUGUAGCGGUGGAAUGCGCAGAUAUCAGGAGUAACACCGAUGGCGAAGGCAGAUCUCUGGGCCGUAACUGACGCUGAGGAGCGAAAGCAUGGGGAGCGAACA